This 506-nucleotide ribosomal RNA is filed under the name uncultured Desulfobulbus sp. Its description in RNAcentral is "bacterial SSU rRNA". It matches the Rfam family "Bacterial small subunit ribosomal RNA", at positions 903 to 1382 of the family's 1533-position model. Lineage: Bacteria; Pseudomonadati; Thermodesulfobacteriota; Desulfobulbia; Desulfobulbales; Desulfobulbaceae. The record is from RNAcentral.
GCGCCUUGCCAGCCCGCUCAGAAACUACAAAGGAAUUGACGGGGGCCCGCACAAGCGGUGGAGCAUGUGGUUUAAUUCGAUGAUACGCGAGGAACCUUACCAGGGCUUGACAUACGCUGGAAUGGGCGGGAGACCGUCCAGCCUUUCGGGGCCGGCGUACAGGUGCUGCAUGGCUGUCGUCAGCUCGUGCUGUGAAGUGUUGGGUUAAGUCCCGCAACGAGCGCAACCCUUGCCUUUAGUUGCCAGCAGUUCGGCUGGGCACUCUAAAGGGACUGCCGGUGUUAAACCGGAGGAAGGUGGGGAUGACGUCAAGUCCUCAUGGCCUUUAUGACCAGGGCUACACACGUACUACAAUGGCCGAUACAAAGGGCAGCGACACUGCGAGGUGAAGCCAAUCCCGUAAAAUCGGUCUCAGUCCGGAUUGGAGUCUGCAACUCGACUCCAUGAAGUUGGAAUCGCUAGUAAUCGUGGAUCAGCAUGCCACGGUGAAUACGUUCCCGGGCCUU